Molecule: ribosomal RNA, 331 nt
Filed under: uncultured eukaryote
Lineage: Eukaryota
Description: partial 18S ribosomal RNA
Rfam family: Eukaryotic small subunit ribosomal RNA
Source: RNAcentral
CCCUUAGAUGUUCGGGGCCGCACGCGCGCUACACUGAUGGGGACAGCGUGUUUGCCAUUCCUGGUCCGGCAGGAUUGGGCAAUCCGUUGAACCCCCGUCGUGAUUGGGAUCGGAGCUUGUAACUAUUCUCCGUAAACGAGGAAUUCCCAGUAAGCGCAAGUCAUCAGCUUGCGUUGAUUACGUCCCUGCCCUUUGUACACACCGCCCGUCGCUCCUACCGAUUGAAUGUGUUGGUGAGGAGCUCGGAUUGGCAGCAGUUGGUGGUUCGCCACCGGCUAUUGCUGAGAAGUCCUCCAAACCGCCCCAUUUAGAGGAAGUAAAAGUCGUAACA